Molecule: ribosomal RNA, 369 nt
Filed under: Triticum aestivum (bread wheat)
Lineage: Eukaryota; Viridiplantae; Streptophyta; Magnoliopsida; Poales; Poaceae
Description: partial small subunit ribosomal RNA
Source: RNAcentral
AUGGCUGAAUCGGCCGGCGGCGGUGAGCCCCGGCUCCCCGAGGAGCUCGUCCUCUGGGAGAUCCUGACGCGCCUGCCGGCGAGGUCCCUCCUACGGUGCCGCGCCGUCUGCACAUCCUGGCGCCGCAGCCUCACCUCCGACACGGGCCUCCUCCUCGCGCACCAUCGCCACCAGCCGGCGCUCCAGCUCGUCACCACCGGGGACGACCUGGAGGGCAGGAUCGACGCGCUGGACCCCCGCGCCGGCGAGCGCCGCCCCGUCGCCCGCACGGACCGGGCCGCCUCCCCCAUGGACCUCGUUCUGCUCGCCGCCUGCUAUAUAGGAAUGGCACGGUAUGAAUGGAACGCUCGCCUCAAUCUUAAGCGGUAA